UCCCAGUUAGUACAAUGGUCAGUAUAUAUCGCUCUCACCGAUAAGAUCAGGGUUCGAUUCCCUGGCCGGGAA
This 72-nucleotide transfer RNA is filed under the name Kalmanozyma brasiliensis GHG001. RNAcentral's name for it is "tRNA-Glu (CTC) (tRNA-Glu-CTC-1-1)". It matches the Rfam family "tRNA". Rfam says of the family: Transfer RNA (tRNA) molecules are approximately 80 nucleotides in length. Their secondary structure includes four short double-helical elements and three loops (D, anti-codon, and T loops). Further hydrogen bonds mediate the characteristic L-shaped molecular structure. tRNAs have two regions of fundamental functional importance: the anti-codon, which is responsible for specific mRNA codon recognition, and the 3' end, to which the tRNAs corresponding amino acid is attached (by aminoacyl-tRNA synthetases). tRNAs cope with the degeneracy of the genetic code in two manners: having more than one tRNA (with a specific anti-codon) for a particular amino acid; and 'wobble' base-pairing, i.e. permitting non-standard base-pairing at the 3rd anti-codon position. RNAcentral also lists the same sequence under 1 other name. Lineage: Eukaryota; Fungi; Basidiomycota; Ustilaginomycetes; Ustilaginales. The record is from RNAcentral.